Non-coding RNA from Salmo salar (Atlantic salmon), 54 nucleotides. NCBI's taxonomy places the organism in Eukaryota, Metazoa, Chordata, Actinopteri, Salmoniformes, Salmonidae. The record is from Rfam.
UGCAUUCACUACUGUAAGUCGCUCUGGAUAAGAGCAUCUGCUAAAUGGCUACAA